UACGGGGGGAGCAAGCGUUGUUCGGAAUUACUGGGCGUAAAGCGUGCGCAGGCGGCGCGUUAAGACAGGUGUGAAAGCCCCGAGCUUAACUUGGGAAUUGCGCUUGUGACUGGCGUGCUGGAGUGUGGCAGAGGGAGGUGGAAUUCCACGUGUAGCAGUGAAAUGCGUAGAGAUGUGGAGGAACACCGAUGGCGAAGGCAGCCUCCUGGGCCAGCACUGACGCUCAUGCACGAAAGCGUGGGGAGCAAACAGG
RNAcentral lists this ribosomal RNA (253 nucleotides) under uncultured bacterium. Its description in RNAcentral is "partial 16S ribosomal RNA". It matches the Rfam family "Bacterial small subunit ribosomal RNA", at positions 524 to 776 of the family's 1533-position model. The record is from RNAcentral.